This 72-nucleotide transfer RNA is filed under the name Ascoidea rubescens DSM 1968. It matches the Rfam family "tRNA". From Rfam's summary of the family: Transfer RNA (tRNA) molecules are approximately 80 nucleotides in length. Their secondary structure includes four short double-helical elements and three loops (D, anti-codon, and T loops). Further hydrogen bonds mediate the characteristic L-shaped molecular structure. tRNAs have two regions of fundamental functional importance: the anti-codon, which is responsible for specific mRNA codon recognition, and the 3' end, to which the tRNAs corresponding amino acid is attached (by aminoacyl-tRNA synthetases). tRNAs cope with the degeneracy of the genetic code in two manners: having more than one tRNA (with a specific anti-codon) for a particular amino acid; and 'wobble' base-pairing, i.e. permitting non-standard base-pairing at the 3rd anti-codon position. Lineage: Eukaryota; Fungi; Ascomycota; Saccharomycetes; Ascoideales; Ascoideaceae. The record is from Rfam by way of RNAcentral.
GGGUGAUUAGUGUAGUGGUUAUCAUAUUUGCCUUCCAAGCAGGUGACAUGGGUUCGAUUCCCGUAUCACUCA